Molecule: ribosomal RNA, 910 nt
Filed under: Cadophora bubakii
Lineage: Eukaryota; Fungi; Ascomycota; Leotiomycetes; Helotiales; Ploettnerulaceae
Description: partial large subunit ribosomal RNA
Rfam family: Eukaryotic large subunit ribosomal RNA
Source: RNAcentral
GCAUAUCAAUAAGCGGAGGAAAAGAAACCAACAGGGAUUACCUCAGUAACGGCGAGUGAAGCGGUAACAGCUCAAAUUUGAAAGCUAGCUCUUUUAGGGUUCGCAUUGUAAUUUGUAGAAGAUGCUUCGGGUGUGGCCCCGGUCUAAGUUCCUUGGAACAGGACGUCAUAGAGGGUGAGAAUCCCGUAUGUGACUGGGUGCUUUCGCUCAUGUGAAGCUCUUUCGACGAGUCGAGUUGUUUGGGAAUGCAGCUCAAAAUGGGUGGUAAAUUUCAUCUAAAGCUAAAUAUUGGCCAGAGACCGAUAGCGCACAAGUAGAGUGAUCGAAAGAUGAAAAGCACUUUGGAAAGAGAGUUAAACAGUACGUGAAAUUGUUGAAAGGGAAGCGCUUGCAACCAGACUUGCGCGCUGAUGAUCAUCCGGGCUUCUGUCCGGUGCACUCGUCUGCGCUCAGGCCAGCAUCGGUUUCGGUGGUGGGAUAAAGGCCUUGGGAAUGUAGCUUCUUUCGGGGAGUGUUAUAGCCCUCGGUGCAAUGCCGCCUACCGGGACCGAGGACCGCGCUUCGGCUAGGAUGCUGGCGUAAUGGUUGUAAGCGACCCGUCUUGAAACACGGACCAAGGAGUCUAACAUCUAUGCGAGUGUUUGGGUGUCAAACCCAUACGCGUAAUGAAAGUGAACGGAGGUGAGAACCCUUAAGGGUGCAUCAUCGACCGAUCCUGAUGUCUUCGGAUGGAUUUGAGUAAGAGCAUAGCUGUUGGGACCCGAAAGAUGGUGAACUAUGCGUGAAUAGGGUGAAGCCAGAGGAAACUCUGGUGGAGGCUCGCAGCGGUUUCUGACGUGCAAAUCGAUCGUCAAAUUUGCGUAUAGGGGCGAAAGACUAAUCGAACCAUCUAGUAGCUGGUUCCUGCCGA